AAAGACAGGCGGAUAGCUGCUUUAAAUUUUAUGUUUGAAGAGGAAAGUCCGGGCUCCAUGAAUGUAUGAUGCCGGAUAACGUCCGGCGAGGGAAACCUUAGGGAAAGUGCCACAGAAAAAAUACCGCUAUUAUUAGUAAGGGUGAAAAGGUGUGGUAAGAGCACACCGCGUUUUUAGUAAUAAAAACGGCAGGGUAAACCCCAUCAGGAGCAAAACCACAUAGGGAUGUUUGGUUGUAAAACCUAGUGUACAUUCACACUUUCAUCCGGGUAGGUUGCUUGAGGUUGUUAGUAAUAACAAUCCUAGAUGAAUAGCUAUCUUAGAAGAAUUUUUUCUUUUAAACAGAACCCGGCUUAUAGCCUGUCUUUACUU
Molecule: RNase P RNA, 372 nt
Filed under: Alphaproteobacteria bacterium
Lineage: Bacteria; Pseudomonadati; Pseudomonadota; Alphaproteobacteria
Description: RNase P RNA component class A
Rfam family: Bacterial RNase P class A
About the family: Ribonuclease P (RNase P) is a ubiquitous endoribonuclease, found in archaea, bacteria and eukarya as well as chloroplasts and mitochondria.
Source: RNAcentral